This 69-nucleotide transfer RNA is filed under the name Nyctereutes procyonoides (raccoon dog). RNAcentral describes it as "tRNA-Phe". It matches the Rfam family "tRNA". From Rfam's summary of the family: Transfer RNA (tRNA) molecules are approximately 80 nucleotides in length. Their secondary structure includes four short double-helical elements and three loops (D, anti-codon, and T loops). RNAcentral also lists the same sequence under 1 other name. Lineage: Eukaryota; Metazoa; Chordata; Mammalia; Carnivora; Canidae. The record is from RNAcentral.
GUUAAUGUAGCUUAAUUAAUAAAGCAAGGCACUGAAAAUGCCAAGAUGAGUCACAUGACUCCAUAAACA